Molecule: long non-coding RNA, 1046 nt
Filed under: Olea europaea subsp. europaea
Lineage: Eukaryota; Viridiplantae; Streptophyta; Magnoliopsida; Lamiales; Oleaceae
Source: RNAcentral
CGGCAAUAUUAUACAAAGAAAGUUCAGGGUCGACUGCCAUGAUUUUUUUUUUUUUACCGCAAAGCUCUACGAUGUACCGUUCUCAAGAAAAAGAUAGUGGCCGGUAGGUUUCAACCACCCUGUGUACAGGGUGUAACUAAAAUGGUGCACAAAAAAAAUCUACGGAAAUUUUCAUAUUUUCCUCCACAACUUUUGAAGUAUUUGUUUUAGAGAGUUCAAAAUUUCAGCAAUUAAAUUUUCAGGGUCGGAGAUAAUGGUUCGUGGUAUUCAUUUGAAAAUAACUUUUUGUUGAGAAAAGUUUUUGGUUUGUAUGAAAGUUCAGGAAGUUUUACGUAGAAAAAGUCAGAAUAUUUUUUUGGUAAAAACGAAGGCAAACCAUAGAAAAAUGCAAAGUAAGAAAACACUUCAGAUUGUAGCAGUACAUUAAGAUUGAGCACUUACUCUAAAACUCGAAUAAUGCACUCCACGUUGCAAAAUUCUAAGAUAUCGAACGUUAUUUAUCAAAAUUUCAAUCUGAAGUGUUUUCCAAUUUGCAUUUUCUAUGGUUUGGUUUCUUUUUUAUUAAAAACCUAUUCUGACCUUUUCUACGUAGUAUUUCUCGAACUUUCAUACAGUGUGAACCAUAAACCAAAAACUUUUCUCAACAAAAAGCUAUUCUUAAAUAAAUACUGCAAACCCCCCUUAUCUUUGAACCUGAAUUUGUCAGAACAUUGGGAUUAAUAGGUAAUAAAUGUCACAUAAAAAUAGGUAAUUGCUGAAAAUUUUAACUCUCUCUACAACAAAUACUUCAAAAGUUAUGGAGGAAAAUCUGAAAAUUUUCCCCAAAUUUACGGCCCUUUAACUCGGAAAGGAAGCCUUUGUGGACAAAAUGCCAUAGAACUUUUUCGUCUUAUUUUUGUCUCAAAAUACCGUGUAUUUUUUUUCGUGCACCAUUUCAGUUACACCCUGUAUAAAGGAAAUGUGAAAGAAAAAACUUUUUUGUAUUUAAAGGUCAUAAAUCGUCCAGAAAUCGCAUUUCGAGGUCAAAGUCGCGACAUCGAGGGUAG